CGCACGCGCCGGAAGCCGGACGCGCGCGAUGCCGGACGGGCAGGCGGACGCCGACGCACGUGGAGCAGCUGGCGACGGAUGGGACGCGCCUUCAAAGCAGAGCAGGUGGGCAGCUGAGGCGACGCCGGUCCGGCGGCACCAAGGCCGGUCGGCGCGCGGAGGACCGGCGGCCAAAGCCCCGUCGACCGACCCCCUCGCCUAUAAAUAGGCCGGUGCAACCUCCGUCGACGGACACGAAAUAGCAAGCUCAGAAACCUUCCCCGGAGAGACUCUAGGGGAAGAUCGAAGAGCGAGCGAGAGAGAGAACGGGUCGCCAGCUCAAACGACCUCCCUCCGAGAGACAUCGGGGGAGGCCGGCGGUGAGCGAGCCCGAGAGGGAGAGACGCCGAGCAGGAGAAGCCAAGGCCAGAGGGAGUGACCAAGGUUAGAUAUUUGAGCAUGAGAAUGGUCAAUCUGCAUCGUUCGUGCGCCCAAUCACCAACUGCAAAACAUAGCUUCCAGGAGCACAGUCUCAAGAAGGCCAGAUACUUGCCAUACGUCUACACUGGAAAUGACACGCCCAACACUGCUUGUGGUAAUAGUUGCAUCGUCAACGUCUGCCAUUGUCUCAAGUGCAACUUCAACCUUAACCCUGACUGCUUUCACCUACCACGAGCUAUAAAAAGUUAGACAUCACAUCAAUCGUUAACCCUCUGUAAGUCCUCUGGGGUGAUGGUUCAGGCGAACUAACGCGACAUUUUGAAAAUGAAAGAAGAACCUGGACUUGGGGGGUUUGCUAUUGUGGAGGAUCCCAAUUAGUUGCUCAUGUCAAUUUGCUAUAGCUCCGAUAUGCCACAUCAAUAUUGCUAUAUUUUUCAAAGGCAACCUUGGUUGAACUGUGAACAUGAGGUUCUGAUAAAUGAACUAUAAGGAGAAGUUGAAAGCAAUAACCUACUGCAAAAAAGUUCAAAUCUAGAGAGAGAGAGAGGGAGAGAGAGAGAUUAGGUUCUUUGUAUGAACAACUUCAGUUCAAUGAAUGAAUCUUUUCAGUGCACCAAUGUAGCUAACACAAUCUUGACGUCAUCUUCAACAAAAAGGUUGAAAGCUUAUGCACAAGAAACUUUCUAGGAGUCAUUUUCUUACUUUAGGAAAUAAUGGAAAAUUAUUAACAAAAAAACCUAGCCACCUUUUCUUUUCAGGUGAAACUAAAGCUGAUGGGAUGUUACAAGCGGAUUUGACGGCGAAGGGGGAAAAACUGGAGUCAUUGGAGAGACAAUUUGCAGCAAUUGCAUUGAAAAGCUGAGGAGAUUAUGAACACUUCAAACUGAUUAACAAGUGCAGCCCAAUUAGAGUGAUGAGAGUUUGGCACAGUUGCCCGACAGGCAGUUUUAACUCUGAUUGAACAUCUAAUGUUGAACAGCCUUCUGUUUUCUGGAGAUGACACUUACUUUCGUUUCUCUAAGCUUGAGAUUGGGAGAAGUGCUUCUGUUGUACGACACUUAGAGACCUGAAAUGGGCUGAAGCUGAGAGAUGCGCUUCCACACUCCAUUAUCACAAAUUGGCGAGAAGACAAGAGUUCCAGGAACUUGGAGAAAUUUCACAUGAGAUUGUCCUUCAUACUGUCUAGCACUGAAUCCUCCUCUAAACUCAUGCCAUACUGAAACUAGUACACUUUUAAAUCCAGAAUACUAACCAUUUGAAUGCAGACACUUCAUUGUCACAAUUCACUUAUUUGGAUAGUUAUGAAGAUUGUACAACUUAAUUUACACUCUGAUACUAACAGAGAAUUAUGGUGUCACCUUCUCUGGUAGUUCAAGUGCCCUAUACAGUAUGUGAAAAGAGUUGCUAGAACAAUGGGAAAGGCAGCGAGGAC
This is a long non-coding RNA of Eucalyptus grandis, 1852 nucleotides long. RefSeq lists it as uncharacterized. NCBI's taxonomy places the organism in Eukaryota, Viridiplantae, Streptophyta, Magnoliopsida, Myrtales, Myrtaceae. The transcript has 3 exons. The record is from RefSeq and is a predicted model, not a curated record.